Molecule: ribosomal RNA, 292 nt
Filed under: uncultured bacterium
Lineage: Bacteria
Description: partial 16S ribosomal RNA
Rfam family: Bacterial small subunit ribosomal RNA
Source: RNAcentral
GUGCCAGCAGCCGCGGUAAUACGUAGGGGGCAAGCGUUGUCCGGAAUCAUUGGGCGUAAAGCGCGUGUAGGCGGCUUCGUAAGUCCGUUGUGAAAGUCCAGGGCUCAACCCUGGAAUGCCGAUGGAUACUGCGGAGCUAGAGUCCGGAAGAGGCGAGUGGAAUUCCUGGUGUAGCGGUGAAAUGCGCAGAUAUCAGGAGGAACACCAAUGGCGAAGGCAGCUCGCUGGGACGGUACUGACGCUGAGACGCGAAAGCGUGGGGAGCAAACAGGAUUAGAUACCCUAGUAGUCC